Molecule: microRNA precursor, 75 nt
Filed under: Myotis lucifugus (little brown bat)
Lineage: Eukaryota; Metazoa; Chordata; Mammalia; Chiroptera; Vespertilionidae
Description: mir-9229 microRNA precursor family
Rfam family: mir-9229 microRNA precursor family
Source: Rfam by way of RNAcentral
GAGAAACCCUUAUGGGCAAGACUUGCUUCAGUGGGGCUUUGGUACUCACUGAGUCUGCCCCCUUAGUGUGUCCCU